ACCUGGCUGGCUCAGUUGGCAGAGCAUGGGACUUUUGAUCUCAGAGUUGUGAGUUUGAACCCCAUGUUGGGUG
This 73-nucleotide transfer RNA is filed under the name Felis catus (domestic cat). It matches the Rfam family "tRNA". Rfam says of the family: Transfer RNA (tRNA) molecules are approximately 80 nucleotides in length. Their secondary structure includes four short double-helical elements and three loops (D, anti-codon, and T loops). RNAcentral also lists the same sequence under 1 other name. Lineage: Eukaryota; Metazoa; Chordata; Mammalia; Carnivora; Felidae. The record is from Rfam by way of RNAcentral.